Molecule: long non-coding RNA, 1798 nt
Organism: Halichondria panicea
Lineage: Eukaryota; Metazoa; Porifera; Demospongiae; Suberitida; Halichondriidae
Exons: 2
Source: RefSeq, a predicted model, not a curated record
CAAGUUUGCAUCCUAUCUAGCCAGUUGCUAAAGAGAAAACAUGAAGCUAUAUCAAGCAUUUGCAGUUUUCAUUGUACUAAUAUAGGCACGGGUAGUUGUACAGAUUUGUGCAGCGAGUAUGGUCAGUUUAAAAGGUGUGAGCAGAUUAUCGAUACGUUUAAAGAAGCCUUAAUCAAGGAAGAAUCAAACAUAUUUGCCCUCAACAAUAUUUUUUUCCUGGGCAACCGAUAUCCAGUGUCCAACUUUGUGGUUAGAUAUCAUAUUAUUGUGCCUGGACAAGAUGAGAACUCAACCUUUUUUGGUGUCAGAGGCUGGUGCAAGAGCGCUGUAACACAAUAGCAAGCCCUGUUAUGAUCGUGACGCUCUUUACGGGGCUAACUAUCUUCUAUCAUAAGGAAGUAAAUCGUCAGAGUUUAAUGCCAAGCAUCCUACUCCUAAACAUAACCAAACACAACUACAGUGAAGAGGAAAUCGAUUAUGCACUCGACUAUAUCACACCUUGGCUUAAAUUGUAUACAAAAAAAGAAGCACAGUCAGGUCAUAUAACUUACACGGAUGAAGAGAAAGGAUACAAGUGUGAUGUCUUCUCUUUUAGCUGGGGUCUAACAGCGAUUACAGUUACUAUAACUAUAGCAGCAAUUUGCAUGACGUGCAAGGUGCUGUAUUUCUUGCUAAAAGCCGAAUCUAAACCAGCUGAUGUAAACAGGGCGGUGUUCUUCUCUUUUGGAAUUAUAACUUUCCUUGUCAACAUUGCUGAUGUCGGUUUUCUUGUGUAUGUAGUAUAUGUUUACAUUUCCGUAUACACGCAAUUCGUUCAGAAUGAAUCAAACCAUGAGAAAAGUGGAACAGACCCUUCGACUGUUCUGAAUCAUGUGCUAGUUAAAGUAUUUGAGCUAAGCGUUGGCAUUCUCGUAUUUGGUAUUGGGGGAGCCAUCACUAGCUGCUGCUCACCUUUUCUUCCACAACCAGAGCUACAUGUUACAUGUAACUUUUGUACCUCCAAACGUGUUUAUUUUCUACAUUUUGCUAACUUCUUCUACUUCACAUAUAUGGUUGGUCUAAAAGUAUUGCCAACAUUUUUGAUACUGUUAAUUGCACCAAUCGAAACGAUAUCUGUACUGAUCUUCUUUGUGUCACUGCUGUCCAGUUGUGUGAUGGUAGUGACCAUCGUCAUACUCCGAAGUGAGAUACAUACAUUGAAGAAAAGGGUUGAGGCGAGGAAUAAAAUUGAACUAUGUCAAACAAUUUGUUCAGCUUCCAUUUACUUUUUGGCACUAAUUUCCAUUGUUUUGCUCGUAGUGGUAUUUCUGAAGGUAUUGGCCGCCACCACAAAUAGUAAUGCACCAUAUCUUGCUACAGUUAUACUAUCCUUGGGUUCCACAAUACUCACCAUACUGGGUGGCUAUUUAACCACGCAAAUAUUGUCAAAAGAGAACACACAAAAAAGUGACUUGGAAUCUGGUACGGAAAUGAUUGAUACGGUAAAUGAAGAUACAGCUGGGACCUCUACAGAGAAUGGAACCCCAGCUGCAGAAAAGAAUGGAGAAGAGAAUGGAGAAGAUGAUGAAGCCACCGCAUUCUUGGGGGGGAAAAAAAAAUGUCGAAAGUACUCUUAACUUGAACACUUGAAUGUUAACACCAGUGCACUAUUAUAAUUGUUACAGUACAUGAUGUUUUCACAGGUAGAUUUGUUUGUGAUUUCACUGUUAAGCUCAUUUUGCUGGUAUUAGCUCAAGUUGUGAAAUUAAUCUUAUUCAUAACGUUUCGCAAGUGGUUUUAAUGAGAUUCAUUGCAAUAG